This 501-nucleotide ribosomal RNA is filed under the name Myoprocta pratti. RNAcentral describes it as "partial 12S ribosomal RNA". It matches the Rfam family "Bacterial small subunit ribosomal RNA", at positions 791 to 1522 of the family's 1533-position model. Lineage: Eukaryota; Metazoa; Chordata; Mammalia; Rodentia; Dasyproctidae. The record is from RNAcentral.
UAUGCNUAGCCAUAAACAUAAAAAUUUCACARCAAAAAUUCUCGCCCGAGAACUACUAGCCACAGCUUAAAACUCAAAGGACUUGGCGGUGCUUUAUAUCCACCUAGAGGAGCCUGUUCUAUAAUCGAUAAACCCCGAUAUACCUCACCACUUCUUGCUAAUUCAGCCUAUAUACCGCCAUCUUCAGCAAACCCUAUUAUGGAGCAACAGUAAGCCUAAUUAUACACCAUAAAAACGUUAGGUCAAGGUGUAGCCCAUGAAGUGGGAAGAAAUGGGCUACAUUUUCUUACCAAAGAACAUUUACGCCAACCCCUGUGAAAACCAGGGGUCUAAGGAGGAUUUAGUAGUAAAUUAAGAAUAGAGAGCUUAAUUGAACUAGGCCAUGAAGCACGUACACACCGCCCGUCACCCUCCUCAAGUGCCCAAAUUCACAAAGAACAACAACACAAGAGGAGAUAAGUCGUAACAAGGUAAGUAUACUGGAAAGUGUACUUGGAAACC